This 332-nucleotide unclassified non-coding RNA is filed under the name soil metagenome. RNAcentral's name for it is "partial contains 5.8S ribosomal RNA, internal transcribed spacer 2, and large subunit ribosomal RNA". The stretch from base 1 to 120 matches the Rfam family "5.8S ribosomal RNA", at positions 35 to 154 of the family's 154-position model. The record is from RNAcentral.
GAUGAAGAACGUAGCGAAAUGCGAUAAGUAAUGUGAAUUGCAGAAUUCAGUGAAUCAUCGAAUCUUUGAACGCACAUUGCGCCCGCCAGUAUUCUGGCGGGCAUGCCUGUCCGAGCGUCAUUUCAACCAUCAAGCCCCGGGCUUGUGUUGGGGACCUGCGUCCGACGCAGGCCCUGAAAACCAGUGGCGGGCUCGCUGUCCACACCGAGCGUAGUAACUAACCUCGCUAUGGGGUGGCGCGGGCGCCUGCCGUAAAACCCCCAAUUUCACAAGGUUGACCUCGGAUCAGGUAGGAAUACCCGCUGAACUUAAGCAUAUCAAUAAGCGGAGGA